RNAcentral lists this ribosomal RNA (692 nucleotides) under uncultured bacterium. RNAcentral's name for it is "bacterial SSU rRNA". It matches the Rfam family "Bacterial small subunit ribosomal RNA", at positions 66 to 747 of the family's 1533-position model. The record is from RNAcentral.
ACGGCAGCACAGUCGUAGCAAUACGAUGGGUGGCGAGUGGCGGACGGGUGAGUAAUGCAUCGGGAUCUACCCUGACGUGGGGGAUAACCUCGGGAAACCGGGACUAAUACCGCAUACGUCCUACGGGAGAAAGCGGGGGACCUUCGGGCCUCGCGCGGCAGGACGAACCGAUGUGCGAUUAGCUAGUUGGCGGGGUAAUGGCCCACCAAGGCGACGAUCGCUAGCUGGUCUGAGAGGAUGAUCAGCCACACUGGGACUGAGACACGGCCCAGACUCCUACGGGAGGCAGCAGUGGGGAAUAUUGGACAAUGGGCGCAAGCCUGAUCCAGCAAUGCCGCGUGUGUGAAGAAGGCCUUCGGGUUGUAAAGCACUUUUAUCAGGAGCGAAAUACCACGGGUUAAUACCCUAUGGGGCUGACGGUACCUGAGGAAUAAGCACCGGCUAACUUCGUGCCAGCAGCCGCGGUAAUACGAAGGGUGCAAGCGUUAAUCGGAAUUACUGGGCGUAAAGGGUGCGUAGGCGGUUGUUUAAGUCUGCCGUGAAAUCCCCGGGCUCAACCUGGGAAUGGCGGUGGAUACUGGGCAGCUAGAGUGUGUCAGAGGAUGGUGGAAUUCCCGGUGUAGCGGUGAAAUGCGUAGAGAUCGGGAGGAACAUCAGUGGCGAAGGCGGCCAUCUGGGACAACACUGACGCU